Non-coding RNA from Gossypium hirsutum (cotton), 135 nucleotides. The record is from Rfam. NCBI's taxonomy places the organism in Eukaryota, Viridiplantae, Streptophyta, Magnoliopsida, Malvales, Malvaceae.
CGUUAAAAAUUUCAUCCAUUUGUACUAUUAAAAGUUGACAUGAUUGAUGGAAUAACCACAGGCACACUACAUGUACCUCACGAUGAUGUAUAAUAACUAUUUUUUAAAUAAUAGGAAUGGAUGGAACUUUUAACA